GGCUCAACCGGGGAGGGUCAUUGGAAACUGGGGAACUUGAGUGCAGAAGAGGAGAGUGGAAUUCCACGUGUAGCGGUGAAAUGCGAUAGAGAUGUGGAGGAACACCAGUGGCGAAGGCGACUCUCUGGUCUGUAACUGACGCUGAGGAGCGAAAGCGUGGGGAGCGAACAGGAUUAGAUACCCUGGUAGUCCACGCCGUAAACGAUGAGUGCUAAGUGUUAGGGGGUUUCCGCCCCUUAGUGCUGCAGCUAACGCAUUAAGCACUCCGCCUGGGGAGUACGGUCGCAAGACUGAAACUCAAAGGAAUUGACGGGGGCCCGCACAAGCGGUGGAGCAUGUGGUUUAAUUCGAAGCAACGCGAAGAACCUUACCAGGUCUUGACAUCCUCUGACAAUCCUAGAGAUAGGACGUCCCCUUCGGGGGCAGAGUGACAGGUGGUGCAUGGUUGUCGUCAGCUCGUGUCGUGAGAUGUUGGGUUAAGUCCCGCAACGAGCGCAACCCUUGAUCUUAGUUGCCAGCAUUCAGUUGGGCACUCUAAGGUGACUGCCGGUGACAAACCGGAGGAAGGUGGGGAUGACGUCAAAUCAUCAUGCCCCUUAUGACCUGGGCUACACACGUGCUACAAUGGACAGAACAAAGGGCAGCGAAACCGCGAGGUUAAGCCAAUCCCACAAAUCUGUUCUCAGUUCGGAUCGCAGUCUGCAACUCGACUGCGUGAAGCUGGAAUCGCUAGUAAUCGCGGAUCAGCAUGCCGCGGUUGAAUACGUUCCCGGGCCUUGUACACACCGCCCGUCACACCACGAGAGUUUGUAACACCCGAAGUCGGUGAGGUAACCUU
Molecule: ribosomal RNA, 838 nt
Filed under: Bacillus sp. SKR12
Lineage: Bacteria; Bacillati; Bacillota; Bacilli; Caryophanales; Bacillaceae
Description: bacterial SSU rRNA
Rfam family: Bacterial small subunit ribosomal RNA
Source: RNAcentral